This 469-nucleotide long non-coding RNA is filed under the name Musa acuminata (dwarf banana). Its description in RNAcentral is "long non-coding RNA (MACU_LNC001833)". Lineage: Eukaryota; Viridiplantae; Streptophyta; Magnoliopsida; Zingiberales; Musaceae. The record is from RNAcentral.
UCGCCGGCGGUACGUUUUUUCGGCGAAGGGCGAUGCAUUAAUUUCCCAACACUCGGAGGGGGUAACAUUGGGAGUCCAAUUCCUGAUCGUGCCAAGAAAGCAAAAUAUCGAAUCGUACAAUCUUACAGUGUUUUCUAUCAUUUAUUAUGUUUUCUUUAAUGGAUCGAAAAUGAAAUGGGAAAGCAUUACGUUUUGCUGCAUAUAAUUUGAUGGGAAAAGAAAUAUCCAAUCAUGAUGUUUGUUGGAGAGCCCAAAGGACAAGCAUCAGUAAUGGCGUACGUACCUCAACCACUACUACUAGUCCUCCUAAACAAACAAGACGAAGCAGCACUUCCGCCUGCGCACCAAUGCAAGCCAAGGAAGAAGACCGCAGGCAAGCGUGCACACACACCACGCGACGAAGGAAGUGACGCUCCUCCCCGACCGACGACCCCAUCGCUUCCCUUCCGAACCACCAAAAACACCACAC